Molecule: regulatory RNA element, 190 nt
Organism: Corynebacterium maris DSM 45190
Lineage: Bacteria; Bacillati; Actinomycetota; Actinomycetes; Mycobacteriales; Corynebacteriaceae
Rfam family: c-di-AMP riboswitch aptamer (ydaO/yuaA leader)
About the family: This family represents a conserved RNA structure found upstream of the ydaO and yuaA genes in Bacillus subtilis and related genes in other bacteria. The ydaO/yuaA element is thought to act as a genetic "off" switch for the ydaO and yuaA genes in its native state.
Source: Rfam
CCAAACUUACCGCAGACAUCGAUGGACAGGGGCGGGGGACCCACCGCGGCCACGCGCCGCACCGGGCGACCCGAUCAACGACACGUCACCCUCGGGGUGAAGCCCGCCGCAUACGCCGGCGGGCCGGGCACACCGUGAACCUCAGCCCGAACCCGACAGCUGACCCCGCAGGCGCCGCUUGAGAGGAACA